This 377-nucleotide unclassified non-coding RNA is filed under the name uncultured bacterium. Its description in RNAcentral is "contains 16S-23S intergenic spacer region". The record is from RNAcentral.
UCCGAUUUAACAUCGGCAGUCUUCCUAGAGUCCCCAACUUAAUGAUGGUAACUAAGAACAGGGGUUGCGCUCGUUGCCGGACUUAACCGAACAUUUCACAACACGAGCUGACGACAGCCAUGCAGCACCUGUCAUCCGGUGACCGAAGUCAGGGCUGUAUCUCUACAGCUUUCCAGAGAUGUCAAGGCCAGGUAAGGUUUUUCGCGUUGCUUCGAAUUAAACCACAUACUCCACCGCUUGUGCGGGCCCCCGUCAAUUCCUUUGAGUUUUAGCCUUGCGACCGUACUCCCCAGGCGGGAUACUUAAUGUGUGAACUGCGGCACUCAACGGGUUAAUCCAUCGAACGCCUAGUAUCCAUCGUUUACGGCGUGGACUAC